RNAcentral lists this ribosomal RNA (784 nucleotides) under Enhydrobacter sp. RNAcentral describes it as "bacterial SSU rRNA". It matches the Rfam family "Bacterial small subunit ribosomal RNA", at positions 65 to 847 of the family's 1533-position model. The record is from RNAcentral. Lineage: Bacteria; Pseudomonadati; Pseudomonadota; Alphaproteobacteria; Hyphomicrobiales.
AACGAUGAAACUCUAGCUUGCUAGAGAUGAUUAGUGGCGGACGGGUGAGUAACAUUUAGGAAUCUGCCUAGUAGUGGGGGAUAGCUCGGGGAAACUCGAAUUAAUACCGCAUACGACCUACGGGUGAAAGGGGGCGCAAGCUCUUGCUAUUAGAUGAGCCUAAAUCAGAUUAGCUAGUUGGUGGGGUAAAGGCCCACCAAGGCGACGAUCUGUAACUGGUCUGAGAGGAUGAUCAGUCACACCGGAACUGAGACACGGUCCGGACUCCUACGGGAGGCAGCAGUGGGGAAUAUUGGACAAUGGGGGCAACCCUGAUCCAGCCAUGCCGCGUGUGUGAAGAAGGCCUUUUGGUUGUAAAGCACUUUAAGCAGGGAGGAGAGGCUAAUGGUUAAUACCCAUUAGAUUAGACGUUACCUGCAGAAUAAGCACCGGCUAACUCUGUGCCAGCAGCCGCGGUAAUACAGAGGGUGCGAGCGUUAAUCGGAAUUACUGGGCGUAAAGCGAGUGUAGGUGGCUCAUUAAGUCACAUGUGAAAUCCCCGGGCUUAACCUGGGAACUGCAUGUGAUACUGGUGGUGCUAGAAUAUGUGAGAGGGAAGUAGAAUUCCAGGUGUAGCGGUGAAAUGCGUAGAGAUCUGGAGGAAUACCGAUGGCGAAGGCAGCUUCCUGGCAUAAUAUUGACACUGAGAUUCGAAAGCGUGGGUAGCAAACAGGAUUAGAUACCCUGGUAGUCCACGCCGUAAACGAUGUCUACUAGCCGUUGGGGUCCUUGAGACUUUAGUGGC